UUCACAUAUUCAUGUGUAUAAAUUUCUAUACAAAAAUAUUUUCGCAUGUACUUUUUAUGCGCAACAUCCUCAUAUAUCCGCAUACAGCUUCUAUGCAGUUUUCUUCUGCAUAGAACUUUUGCAUGCAUAAAAAGAAUUUCUGCAUGCUAAAUUCUAUGCAAUUUUUUCUGCAUAAAUAUUUUAUAUACGUGUCCGCAUAUAUGUGCAUAUAAAUUUCUAUAUAAAAAAAACUCACAUAUAUAUUUUAUACAUAAUUACACGUGUCUGCAUGUAAAAUUCUAUAUAGG
Molecule: long non-coding RNA, 287 nt
Filed under: Elaeis guineensis (African oil palm)
Lineage: Eukaryota; Viridiplantae; Streptophyta; Magnoliopsida; Arecales; Arecaceae
Description: long non-coding RNA (EGUI_LNC007185)
Source: RNAcentral